CCUACGGGUGGCAGCAGUGGGGAAUAUUGCGCAAUGGGCGAAAGCCUGACGCAGCGACGCCGCGUGAGGGAUGAAGGUCUUCGGAUCGGAAACCUCUGUCAGCAGGGAAGAACGGUCAAUGUGCUAAUCAGCAGUGAAUUGACGGUACCUGCAAAGGAAGCACCGGCUAACUCCGUGCCAGCAGCCGCGGUAAUACGGAGGGUGCGAGCGUUAAUCGGAAUUACUGGGCGUAAGGCGCGCGUAGGCGGUAUGUCAAGUCAAGGGUGAAAUCCCCGCGCUCAACGUGGGAACUGCCUUUGAUACUGGCAACCUGGAGUGUGGGAGAGGAUAGUGGAAUUCCAGGUGUAGGAGUGAAAUCCGUAGAUAUCUGGAGGAACAUCAGUGGCGAAGGCGACUAUCUGGCACAUAACUGACGCUGAGGAGCGAAAGCGUGGGUAGCAAACAGGAUUAGAUACCCGAGUAGUC
RNAcentral lists this ribosomal RNA (465 nucleotides) under uncultured bacterium. Its description in RNAcentral is "partial 16S ribosomal RNA". It matches the Rfam family "Bacterial small subunit ribosomal RNA", at positions 338 to 795 of the family's 1533-position model. The record is from RNAcentral.